GAGGUAGAAUAAUUCAGUUCAGAUCUGUAAAUAUAGAUGCCACGUAUUUUUAUUUGAUUUUUCCUUCUCACUUCACUUCCUCUUCCUCUUCUUCUUCUUCAUUUCUUUUUCGUCUUUGCUUAGCCUUUCAUUCGCGUGUGUGGGACCGGUUCAGCUAAGGGAGGUAUGAUCAGGGCCGAAAGUUUGUUGCAUUAGCAGGCUGUUGACCGGUGAGGGUGUUGAGAGAUGGCAUGGAUCGUGGGUAUUGCUGUGAGCGAAACAGCCUAGAAUUGGCAAUCGAGGUGAGGAAUCAUUCCAUUGGUUCUCGUUGUUCAUAACAGGUUAGGAAGGAGCGACGAGAUCGAUUUUUUUAUAAACUUGCAGACCAAGAAUGAGGGAGACGCAGGUUGUAUCCACGAUUUGGGUGGUAGCUCUAUCACAGAGAGGAUAUGUGAUAGCUGAGUGAGAAUCUUAUUCUUUUGCCUUGUGACUGAAGAUCGAGAGGCCGGACUGAGUAGUUGUUUAUUUAGCACCUGUGCGAAAUCACAUAGAGAUAGAGCAUCGCGAGGAUUGUUUGGCUUGGAACCGGCUUUAUUUUUCAUUCUCGAAGGUCUUUUCUACUUUUUUUUUUCACGAAUUGUUGGAAACGGCAGAGAGAAAAUGCAGACUAGAGCGUCUACAACUUCUCUGGCUGUUGAGUCUGUUGUAGGAAACGGCCCAAUUUUGAGAAAUGCAGCAGGGGGAAAGGCGUUGAAGGAGUGGCCUUCAAAGCUCUCCAGGAUAUUCUGUUUGUUCAUCGCACUAGGCGCUAGUUUAGUGGUAGGGGUGAUAUGCAGCCUUCACGUAACGGGAGUCUUAAGCACAGGAUCCAUGCUUUCAUCGUAUGUUUCUGGAGCUCAACAACGCGUUCACCGGCACAUAAUGGCCCCUGACGAUUCGCAGGCUUUGUGUCACGGCAUGGAAGACAAGGAGCUUCUCUGGAGAGCGUCUAUGGUGCCGACGCGGCCAGGGAUGCCCCUCAAACGCAUCCGGAAAGUCGCUUUCAUGUUUUUGACUGUCGGGCCUUUGCCUCUAGCUCCGCUGUGGGAGAAAUUCUUCAAAGGUCACCAAGAUCUUUACAACAUAUACAUCCACUCUCUUCCUGAAUACGAACCCAACGAGCGGCCGUCUUCUGUAUUCUAUGGUCGUCGCGUCUUAAGCCAGGAGGUGAAAUGGGGUGAUAUUUCAAUGAACGAUGCUGAGAGGCGGUUGUUAGCGAACGCACUACUCGAUUUGGACAACGAGCGGUUUGUCCUUCUCUCUGAGAGUUGCGCACCAAUCUGGAACUUUACAUUUACCUAUCAGUAUCUGAUGAACUCCAACCAAAGUUUUGUAGGUGUUUUUGACGACCCGGGACCCGUGGGCAGAGGAAGAUACGACCCACGUAUGGAACCAGAGGUCACCAUUGACCAAUGGAGGAAAGGGGCUCAGUGGUUCGAGGUGAACCGGGAGUUGGCCGUCUACAUCAUCGCCGACGUGAAGUACUACGAAAAAUUUCGCCAGUUUUGUCUGGGAGUAUGCUACGCAGACGAGCAUUAUAUUCCAACAAUGAUGUUCAUAGAAUUCAAGGACAAGAUAGCGCAGAGAAGUGUCACAGCGAUGAAUUGGUCAAGAGGAGGUUCCCAUCCGGGCAUCUUUGGGAGACACAACGCGGCAAGCUUCUACAAAACUAUCCGCAGUGACCAGUCAUGCACAUAUAACGGAGCUCCUGGCCAUGCGUGCUACUUGUUUGCUAGAAAAUUCAGCCCCGACAGCUUGCAGGCCUUACUACACUCUGCCACAUUGCGCAAGUUAUAGCCUGUUUGUCCAAAACAACACGUAGACGUCGAGCUUAGGGUUGUACCUCCCGUCCCGCCUUCGCUUUCUCCAACCUCCACUAAAUCCCGAAUGAGAAAUGGCACGCGCUAGAUCCGAACGGCUACUAAGUGAUCAUAGACCUCUUUAGCAAUGGCCAGCUUAGACUCAAGCUACCAGAGACAUGAGCAUCAAAUCUUUCGAGGGAUGUACGUGAUGCUUGUGAAGAGUGGGCGGGAUUGUCGACCCAGCAAGAUGUGAUUCUCCAGGAGAACAGUUCACGGCGCUCCCUGGAUUCACAUCCAAAUGCAGAUAAACAGCUAUUACUUAUUUUAAGUGCAACCGAUGAAACUCAGCAUCGAAGAAUCACGCAGUGCUAGUCACGCGGUGCGAUCAGGUUCUCCAAGAGUGUACAGAGGUCCAAACAACGCACAGACAUGCAAGAAUAAUGCACCCCCAUGAAGUAGCUCAGCUCUUCCUUCCUUGCUUGCUGUCAAUAGCUAUGCCCCCACCCAGCUCUUCAAAAUGGGAUUCCAGUACUGUUGCUGUUCACAUCAUGUAUCCUGGCGUGUAUUCCUAGAUUGCAAUUAUUUGAAUAAGACGUGCCUCGGAUUCAUAUUCCUUUAUGUGUGUUGCAAGUAGAAAGUGAGGGAGGUUUUCAUUCCACACUGUACUCAGCUUUGCCUUUUUUUUUCUUUUUUUUUUCUUUCUUUCUAUCUCUCUUUCUCGUGCCAGGAUAUUCGCUCAGAUUUCUUCACACUCUUGUUCGUGUGAUUUUUUAAACUGUCCAUCACUUGUUGCAUA
RNA transcript from Physcomitrium patens, 2616 nucleotides. It is a transcript of the gene named glycosyltransferase BC10, with no coding region annotated. NCBI's taxonomy places the organism in Eukaryota, Viridiplantae, Streptophyta, Bryopsida, Funariales, Funariaceae. The record is from RefSeq and is a predicted model, not a curated record.